CCUUUACAGACGACCGAAACAUUUUCAGAGGGAGAAGCGGGCUCAGAUUUGGUCAAAAUCGUACAACUUUUGUCUUCUCACAGGAAGAACGGUCCUUGGCCUGUUGCAUUGAGGUAUUUUGCCGUCAGUGGACUGACUUUUGUUUCCAAGGUCUUCUGAAAUGUUCCUGUCCUUCCUGACCGGCCAAACUUAAAACCCGGUAACCACAACUACAUACCGUCCAAGAUAUAUACAAGUAUGUAUACUUCUGAAUCUGAUCAUGAGAGCCAUAGAUGCUCUGCCUGCAGCUCAUCUACCGAGAAGGCAGAAUGUUGGCCUGGUUGUAGCUGCUUUACUUACUAUGGUCCUCAUCCCAUGGUCUGGUUGAAUUUUCUCGACUGUGCUGUCUGGUGACAAUCUGGUGGGAUGAUAUUAUAUACCAGUGCUUUGUGGAAAUGAUAUCCUUGUGGAGAAAUCCCUUUAUGAAAAGGUAAGGAUGUUUACCAGUACAACAUUUUUCCAAUACACUCACUUG
Long non-coding RNA from Branchiostoma belcheri (Belcher's lancelet), 514 nucleotides. RefSeq lists it as uncharacterized. The transcript has 4 exons. The record is from RefSeq and is a predicted model, not a curated record. NCBI's taxonomy places the organism in Eukaryota, Metazoa, Chordata, Leptocardii, Amphioxiformes, Branchiostomatidae.